RNAcentral lists this ribosomal RNA (309 nucleotides) under uncultured Streptococcus sp. Its description in RNAcentral is "bacterial SSU rRNA". It matches the Rfam family "Bacterial small subunit ribosomal RNA", at positions 1074 to 1382 of the family's 1533-position model. Lineage: Bacteria; Bacillati; Bacillota; Bacilli; Lactobacillales; Streptococcaceae. The record is from RNAcentral.
GUUGGUUAAGUCCCGCAACGAGCGCAACCCCUAUUGUUAGUUGCCAUCAUUCAGUUGGGCACUCUAGCGAGACUGCCGGUAAUAAACCGGAGGAAGGUGGGGAUGACGUCAAAUCAUCAUCGCCCCUUAUGACCUGGGCUACACACGUGCUACAAUGGUUGGUACAACGAGUUGCGAGUCGGUGACGGCGAGCUAAUCUACUUAAAGACCAAUCUCAGUUCGGAUUGUAGGCUGCAACUCGCCUACAUGAAGUCGGAAUCGCUAGUAAUCGCGGAUCAGCACGCCGCGGUGAAUACGUUCCCGGGCCUU